Molecule: long non-coding RNA, 251 nt
Filed under: Ricinus communis (castor bean)
Lineage: Eukaryota; Viridiplantae; Streptophyta; Magnoliopsida; Malpighiales; Euphorbiaceae
Description: long non-coding RNA (RCOM_LNC002985)
Source: RNAcentral
AUCAGGGCGUUUCUAUUUCGAGUGGUGGUGGUGGAUUAGCUUGACGUUAAAAAUUCAAUAGAGCGUGAUUGGUUAUGGAAUGGGGUCACGCGCGCUCGUCAACUGGUGUAAAUGUAUGGAAUUCUUAUUUUGAGUAUGCAUUUCUUCUACGCACCACCACUGGAGAGUGACAAUAAAUUUUUCUGCUGCAUAAUCCCUUUUCUUAAAAAGAACAAUUGUAUCUGUAUUAAAAGCAUGAAAUUAUAUAUUUU